UACGAAGGGGGCUAGCGUUGUUCGGAAUUACUGGGCGUAAAGCGCACGUAGGCGGGUUGUUAAGUCGGGGGUGAAAUCCUGGAGCUCAACUCCAGAACUGCCUUUGAUACUGGCAACCUAGAGACUGGAAGAGGUUAGUGGAAUUCCCAGUGUAGAGGUGAAAUUCGUAGAUAUUGGGAAGAACACCAGUGGCGAAGGCGGCUAACUGGUCCAGCACUGACGCUGAGGUGCGAAAGCGUGGGGAGCAAACAGG
Molecule: ribosomal RNA, 253 nt
Filed under: uncultured bacterium
Lineage: Bacteria
Description: partial 16S ribosomal RNA
Rfam family: Bacterial small subunit ribosomal RNA
Source: RNAcentral